AUACGGAGGGUGCAAGCGUUAUUCGGAAUCAUUGGGCGUAAAGGGCGCGUAGGCGGCCUGGUAAGUCAGGUGUGAAAGCCCGGGGCUCAACCCCGGAAGUGCAUUUGAUACUGCCAGGCUUGAGUAUGGGAGAGGGAAGUGGAAUUCCUGGUGUAGAGGUGAAAUUCGUAGAUAUCAGGAGGAACACCGGUGGCGAAGGCGACUUCCUGGACCAAUACUGACGCUGAGGCGCGAAGGCGUGGGGAGC
RNAcentral lists this ribosomal RNA (247 nucleotides) under uncultured bacterium. RNAcentral describes it as "partial 16S ribosomal RNA". It matches the Rfam family "Bacterial small subunit ribosomal RNA", at positions 523 to 769 of the family's 1533-position model. The record is from RNAcentral.